UGCCAGCAGCCGCGGUAAUACAGAGAGUGCAAGCGUUAAUCGGAAUUACUAGGCGUAAAGCGCACGUAGGUGGAUACUCAAGUCGGGUGUGAAAGCCCCGAGCUCAACUCGGGAACUGCAUCCGAAACUAGGUGUCUAGAGUAUGAUAGAGGGAAGUGGAAUUUCCGGUGUAGCGGUGAAAUGCGUAGAUAUCGGAAGGAACAUCAGUGGCGAAGGCGGCUUCCUGGAUCAAUACUGACACUGAGGUGCGAAAGCGUGGGGAGCAAACAGGAUUAGAUA
RNAcentral lists this ribosomal RNA (279 nucleotides) under uncultured bacterium. RNAcentral's name for it is "partial 16S ribosomal RNA". It matches the Rfam family "Bacterial small subunit ribosomal RNA", at positions 506 to 784 of the family's 1533-position model. The record is from RNAcentral.